GAUGAACGCUGGCGGCGUGCCUAAUACAUGCAAGUCGAGCGAACAGAUGAGGAGCUUGCUCCUCUGACGUUAGCGGCGGACGGGUGAGUAACACGUGGAUAACCUACCUAUAAGACUGGGAUAACUUCGGGAAACCGGAGCUAAUACCGGAUAAUAUAUUGAACCGCAUGGUUCAAUAGUGAAAGACGGUUUUGCUGUCACUUAUAGAUGGAUCCGCGCCGCAUUAGCUAGUUGGUAAGGUAACGGCUUACCAAGGCAACGAUGCGUAGCCGACCUGAGAGGGUGGUCGGCCACACGGGAACUGAGACACGGUCCAGACUCCUACGGGAGGCAGCAGUAGGGAAUCUUCCGCAAUGGGCGAAAGCCUGACGGAGCAACGCCGCGUGAGUGAUGAAGGUCUUCGGAUCGGAAAGCUCUGUUAUUAGGGAAGAACAAAUGUGUAAGUAACUAUGCACGUCUUGACGGUACCUAAUCAAAAAGCCACGGCUAACUACGUG
RNAcentral lists this ribosomal RNA (497 nucleotides) under uncultured bacterium. Its description in RNAcentral is "partial 16S ribosomal RNA". It matches the Rfam family "Bacterial small subunit ribosomal RNA", at positions 28 to 507 of the family's 1533-position model. The record is from RNAcentral.